GUUGCAAAACCGGACCAAAGAAAGGACAUAGAAGAUAAGACAAGGCAUGGGGCAUUUAGAUCAGUUAGCCACAACCCCACCCACAAAAACAGCUCUGUAGUUGGUUUCCAAAUUUGCAGUGGUUUCCUGUAGAUAAAGAUCCCUGAGCUAACAGUAACAGAGUUCAUCAUCAGGCCGUCCUCUUACAAUCCUGAAACACACACUCUUGCCAAGGAAAACGCUUAACUCACCCCAACUAAGGCCUAAAUUAUACCACUUCAACAGCUUGUGUUCAGGAUGGCCAGCCAUGUUAUACCUGUUGAAAACACAAGAAACGGCUUCACCAUCUUCACCCAUGUGAUCCCCACCACAAACAGCUCCAGGGGGGCUCCAGGAAGUCUCCACUCUCAGAGAGCCGAAAGCACUGGGGGUAAGAGGGGUACAAACACAGCUCUGACUGUCCAGAUACUAAUUGGGAUUGUGACCUAUUUGUUUGGCAUUGUGUCAGCAGUCCACUUUAACACCAUAUCUGGCUACAGUAACAUGAGCCGCUGGGGAUCAAUGAUCGUAUG
This is a long non-coding RNA of Colossoma macropomum (tambaqui), 551 nucleotides long. RefSeq lists it as uncharacterized. Lineage: Eukaryota; Metazoa; Chordata; Actinopteri; Characiformes; Serrasalmidae. The transcript has 4 exons. The record is from RefSeq and is a predicted model, not a curated record.